AAAAUUGACUAGUUGUUGAGAUGGACAAAUUGGGUUCAUAAACUUAAUACAUUGGGUUCAACAUUAGUGGAAAUGUGAAGAAUAAGGUGAUGCAUAAGCCAA
Molecule: long non-coding RNA, 102 nt
Organism: Ipomoea nil (Japanese morning glory)
Lineage: Eukaryota; Viridiplantae; Streptophyta; Magnoliopsida; Solanales; Convolvulaceae
Exons: 3
Source: RefSeq, a predicted model, not a curated record